This is a long non-coding RNA of Felis catus (domestic cat), 742 nucleotides long. RefSeq lists it as uncharacterized. NCBI's taxonomy places the organism in Eukaryota, Metazoa, Chordata, Mammalia, Carnivora, Felidae. The transcript has 3 exons. The record is from RefSeq and is a predicted model, not a curated record.
ACGGUGAGAUCAUGACCUGAGCCAAAGUCAGACACUCCAUCAACUGAGCCACCCAGGUGCCCCUCCAUAUUACUAUUCUAUUCAACUUUACUUAACAGCAGUUCGUGAUGCUCCUGAGCAAAAGUGCAUAUUACAGAUGACACAUAACUGAGAUGUGGAGCAGAGUCCUGGAAACACUGUAGGGACUGAAGUAGAGGGCUGCUGUUCCUGUCCCUCCUACUCUACUUACUGUCUGUUUGACCCUGGAACUUACUGCCAAGAAAAUCAAGACUUGAGCACUAGCCAAACAAAGAAUUACAAAGGAGGCUACAGGUUAAACAGCCACCUAAGAUCACUGGCGAUGGAUGCCGGCUAACAAGUGGGGAAGCAACAUCUAUGAGAUGCUUUGUCGACUCCUAAAACUGUUCUCACACUGCAGACGCAGCCACCAAUUAAACACACGAGUAGUGUGUGUGUGCAUAUUGUUGUUAUCAUUGUCUUUUGGAGGUAGUGUUUUACACCCAGUAAGUUACCUCUGGGAAAAAUACUGCUUACAUCAUAGUAAAUGUGGAGUGGAAUAUGUUUACUCAGGACUUUUUUUGAGAUUUUCAUUUCGUAUGUUUAAUUAAGACAGAAUUUAAAGACUAGGGAUGUUGUUAAAAUAUUGUUUCAGGUUGAUGCAAGAAUACUCUAGUGCUAUUACGAUAACUCCAACUGCUGAUUGGUUUUAUUUAAUCAUAAAGAUCUUAUAUCUCAAAAGAAA